Molecule: ribosomal RNA, 342 nt
Filed under: uncultured Flavobacterium sp.
Lineage: Bacteria; Pseudomonadati; Bacteroidota; Flavobacteriia; Flavobacteriales; Flavobacteriaceae
Description: bacterial SSU rRNA
Rfam family: Bacterial small subunit ribosomal RNA
Source: RNAcentral
CUCGGAGUUUGAUCCUGGCUCAGGAUGAACGCUAGCGGCAGGCUUAACACAUGCAAGUCGAGGGGUAGAAGCAGCUUGCUGCUUUGAGACCGGCGCACGGGUGCGUAACGCGUAUGCAAUCUACCUUUUACAGAGGGAUAGCCCAGAGAAAUUUGGAUUAAUACCUCAUAGUAUGUGAGAAUCGCAUGGUUUUCACAUUAAAGUUCCAACGGUAAAAGAUGAGCAUGCGUCCUAUUAGCUAGAUGGUAAGGUAACGGCUUACCAUGGCUACGAUAGGUAGGGGGCCUGAGAGGGUGGUCCCCCGACACUGGGUACUGAGACACGGACCAGACUCCUACGGGG